ACAACAGUCGAAUUAUUUAUCGAUCUAUGCGAGUUCAGCCGAGUGAAGAUGGCGCCAAAAAUCAAAAAGUAAAUUUAGAGACCCUCAAGUAUAGUAUAUUGACCCAUCAAUGUAAUUCAAGUGUCAAUGAUUAAAGCAAGGCAGUAAGAAUUGGUAAGAACGAUUUUGGAUCUUUUCAUAUCUCGUUUUUGCUCCAUAAAUCAUGUUUCCUGAUCAAUGACCAGAACAAAUACUUGCCUACAAUCGACAAUAGUAAAAAUAUUUUUAUUCGGGCGUUCAGGUUUGAAUAAACUACCAAAGAUACACCCCAUUUUUAAGAUUAAACUCAGACCCAGGCUGUUCAUUAUCAACGAGACAUAAUAUCAUCGCAAUUUAAGUAUGAAGGUGGACAGAAAUAAUAGUCCGGUAAUAACCUUAUUCUUCCUGGAGUAAACCAUCAAAGUCUGUCGUCAGUAUUCAACGCCGUCAUUCAGUGGCGUCGCCCACCAUAGGCUUCGAUUUAUCUGCCCUGCCAGUAAAAUUUAUCCAGCGGUAUGGAAAUGGGGUAA
RNAcentral lists this unclassified non-coding RNA (548 nucleotides) under Athalia rosae (coleseed sawfly). RNAcentral describes it as "misc RNA ENSAEAG00005008919.1". Lineage: Eukaryota; Metazoa; Arthropoda; Insecta; Hymenoptera; Athaliidae. The record is from RNAcentral.